This 503-nucleotide ribosomal RNA is filed under the name uncultured bacterium. RNAcentral describes it as "partial 16S ribosomal RNA". It matches the Rfam family "Bacterial small subunit ribosomal RNA", at positions 30 to 523 of the family's 1533-position model. The record is from RNAcentral.
AUUGAACGCUGGCGGCAGGCUUAACACAUGCAAGUCGAGCGGGGUGAUGGUGCUUGCACUAUCACUUAGCGGCGGACGGGUGAGUAAUGCUUAGGAAUCUGCCUAUUAGUGGGGGACAACAUCUCGAAAGGGAUGCUAAUACCGCAUACGUCCUACGGGAGAAAGCAGGGGAUCACUUGUGACCUUGCGCUAAUAGAUGAGCCUAAGUCGGAUUAGCUAGUUGGUGGGGUAAAGGCCUACCAAGGCGACGAUCUGUAGCGGGUCUGAGAGGAUGAUCCGACACACAGGGACUGAGACACGGCCCAGUCUCCUACGGGAGACAGCUGUUGGGAAUAUUGGACAAUGGGGGUAACCCUGAUCCAGCCAUGCCGCGUGUGUGAAGAAGGCCUUAUGGUUGUAAAGCACUUUAAGCGAGGAGGAGGCUCUUUUGGUUAAUACCCAAGAUGAGUGGACGUUACUCGCAGAAUAAGCACCGGCUAACUCUGUGCCAGCCGCCGCCGUAA